AUGUCAAAGAGAGUUAACUGUAAGGCAGCGGUUAAGAUGAAGAAAAAAGGGAAAGAAUGGAUAUAUGAGAAAGUACUAUUGGAGCACAAUCAUACCCUAAAUCCUGAGCCAUGGGAGUUGAAGCACAUGCAUUCACACAAGAACAAAGACCCUGCUAUCAUGGAAUUCCUUGAUGAUCUGCAGAUGUGCGACGUCUCUCCUAAUGCCACCAUGAAUGUGUUGACCAAGAUGCAUGGCAACCGUGAGAACAUGCCAUGGAGUGAACGUGACUUGCAAAAUAGGUAA
This 285-nucleotide ribosomal RNA is filed under the name Triticum aestivum (bread wheat). Its description in RNAcentral is "partial small subunit ribosomal RNA". Lineage: Eukaryota; Viridiplantae; Streptophyta; Magnoliopsida; Poales; Poaceae. The record is from RNAcentral.